This is a long non-coding RNA of Rhagoletis zephyria (snowberry fruit fly), 664 nucleotides long. RefSeq lists it as uncharacterized. Lineage: Eukaryota; Metazoa; Arthropoda; Insecta; Diptera; Tephritidae. The record is from RefSeq and is a predicted model, not a curated record.
AAAUUAAAGCCGCGCGCUGCUUUUUUCUUACAAUCGAAAUGAAGUGAAGUGAAAUACUCUCGGUCUCCCUUUUUUUUGUUUGUCUUUCUUUUACGCCUUUUUACUGUUCUGUACUAAAGCCAAGUGAGUGCGGCGGCUAUUCUGCAACUCGUCGACAUCGACAGUCUUUACUGUUGUCUGUUGUGGCUACUCAAUUCAGUUUGGCAGCAACAUCAGCAGCAGCCGAACCAUCAUCAUCGCAACAACAUUGUGUCGUUUCUUCAACUCUUCGAUUCUUCAAUUCUUCAAUUCAAUUCAACCCCCAACGCAAACGCAGACGGUACUACGAGUACUUAAGUCAAAAUUUUUAUGUGAUGUGGUGUGGUGGUUCGCGCGUGAACUGACCCAACGCCCCCAGUGAUCGCUUUACAGAAUUUAGUAGUCGAGAAUAGUAGCUGAAAAAGAAAAUGAAAUAAAUUAGAAUUUCGCUGUACUGUGUGAAAGCGUGUGAGACGAAAGCGAAGAAAGUGUAAAACGAUAAAACGCAGUUACCAAAACAACAAGCAACAAACAUAUAGCCAAUAAAAAUGGUUUAAAAACAAGAAGCAAACUAAAAAGACAACAACAAAAGUGAAAAGUACAGUGAAGUUGAACACAAAAUGUGUGUACAACUACAAAUAAAAAA